CGUGGGAACGUGCCUUUUAGUUCAGGAUAGCCACUGGAAACGGUGAGUAAUACUGGAUACGCCCUAAGGGGGAAAGAUUUAUCGCUAAAAGAUCGGCCCGCGUUGGAUUAGCUAGUUGGUGGGGUAAUGGCCUACCAAGGCGACGAUCUAUAGCUGGUCUGAGAGGAUGAUCAGCCACACUGGGACUGAGACACGGCCCAGACUCCUACGGGAGGCAGCAGUGGGGAAUCUUGCACAAUGGAGGAAACUCUGAUGCAGCGAUGCCGCGUGAGUGAAGAAGGCCCUUGGGUUGUAAAGCUCUUUUGUCGGGAAAGAUAAUGACUGUACCCGAAGAAUAAGGUCCGGCUAACUUCGUGCCAGCAGCCGCGGUAAUACGAAGGGACCUAGCGUAAUUCGGAAUUACUGGGCGUAAAUCGCGCGUAGGCGGUUAAGUAAGUUAAUUGUGAAAGCCCAAAGCUCAACUUUGGAAUUGCAAUUAAAACUACUUAGCUAGAGUUUAUCAGAGGAA
Molecule: ribosomal RNA, 508 nt
Filed under: proteobacterium MS-M-1
Lineage: Bacteria; Pseudomonadati; Pseudomonadota
Description: bacterial SSU rRNA
Rfam family: Bacterial small subunit ribosomal RNA
Source: RNAcentral